This 450-nucleotide ribosomal RNA is filed under the name uncultured Glomeromycotina. RNAcentral's name for it is "SSU rRNA". It matches the Rfam family "Eukaryotic small subunit ribosomal RNA", at positions 569 to 1024 of the family's 1831-position model. Lineage: Eukaryota; Fungi; Glomeromycota. The record is from RNAcentral.
AGCAGCCGCGGUAAUUCCAGCUCCAAUAGCGUAUAUUAAAGUUGUUGCAGUUAAAAAGCUCGUAGUUGAAUUUCGGGGUCAGUAGGUCGGUCGUGCCAACGGUAUGAACUGGUCUCACUGAUUCCUCCCUCUUGUAGAACCGUGAUGCCAUUAAUUUGGUGUUGCGGGGAAACAGGACUGUUACUUUGAAAAAAUUAGAGUGUUUAAAGCAAGCUAACGCUUGAAUACAUUAGCAUGGAAUAAUGAAACAGGACGUCUGUCUUAUUUUGUUGGUUUCUAGGAUGGACGUAAUGAUUAAUAGGGAUAGUUGGGGGCAUUAGUAUUCAAUGGUCAGAGGUGAAAUUCUUGGAUUUAUUGAAGACUAACUACUGCGAAAGCAUUUGCCAAGGAUGUUUUCAUUAAUCAAGAACGAAAGUUAGGGGAUCGAAGACGAUCAGAUACCGUCGUAGU